CUACAUCAUAAAAAUUGAAGUUCUCUGAUUUUUUUUAUUCAAUAGAUUUUAUUAGAGAUAAGAAAAACAGACCAUAUAAGCUAAGAGAUUAGUGCUUGUCAGGUGAUAUACAGUAAAAUUUUGGUGGAGGGCUCAACUGACUAAUAAUACCCAGAGGUUAAAGCCUGCUCCUGCAAUGUUACUACAGUCAGUUCACAUGCCAUGACAUCUGUGGUAAAAAAAUUAUUCCGAUGAAGUCCCUAUGUAAGAGUAAAACAUAAUUCAGAUACACUCACUGAUGAAUGGAGUUUAUACAAGUCUUUAAAGUGGAACUCGGUUCCAGAGCAGAGGAAUCCAAUGGCAGCUCAGAGAACUGUUGAUUCAUCCAUGCUAACAUAUUUAUGGAACAUCCAUCAUGUAUUUAAAAGGUGGACAUCUUCCACUGUACUUUGAGUAGGAGAAUAUUGAACAAUGAAGAACGGCAGCCAGUAGAAGUUAAUGACACAGCUAUACAACAACACUUACAAUUUUAGUAACCUACACAUCAAUCACCUUUCAAAGAUGACUUUUCCUCUGACUAAAGAGCCCUGCAGGUAAGUAGGUAAGACAUAUUGCCAAAAGUACAACUUGAAUAAGAAUCAACUUGC
Molecule: long non-coding RNA, 626 nt
Filed under: Parus major (Great Tit)
Lineage: Eukaryota; Metazoa; Chordata; Aves; Passeriformes; Paridae
Description: lncRNA (ENSPMJG00000001641.1)
Source: RNAcentral